GCCUUCGCCAGGGCUGCGCCUUGUCACCAAUCUUGUUUGUGGUCUUCAUGGACAGGAUAUCGAGGCGUAGUCGGGGGGAGGAGGGUCUACAGUUCGGGGGGCUGCGGAUCUCAUCGCUGCUUUUUGCAGAUGAUGUGGUCCUGAUGGCAUCUUCCGUCUGUGACCUCCAACUCUCACUGGAGCGUUUCGCAGUCGAGUGUGAAGCGGUCGGGAUGAGGAUUAGCACCUCUAAAUCUGAGGCCAUGGUUCUCAGCAGGAAACCGAUGGAUUGCCUACUCCAGGUAGGGAAUGUGUCCUUACCCCAAGUGAAGGAGUUCAAGUACCUCGGGGUCUUGUUCACGAGUGAGGGGAAGAUGGAGUGUGAGUUUGGCCGGAGAAUCGGAGCAGCGGGGGCGGUAUUGCACUCGCUUUACCGCACCGUUGUGACGAAAAGAGAGCUGAGCCGGAAGAACUAGGUCACGGGUACAAGCGGCCGAAAUGGGUUUCCUCAGGAGAGUGGCUGGCGUCUCCCUUAGGGAUAGGGUGAGAAGCUCAGCCAUUCGCGAGGAGCUCGGAGUAGAGCCGCUGCUCCUUUGCGUCGAAAGGAGCCAGUUGAGGUGGUUUGGGCAUCUGGUGAGGAUGCCCCCUGGGCGCCUCCCUAGGGAGGUGUUUCAGGCACGGCCAGCUGGGAAGAGGCCCCGGGGAAGACCCAGGACUAGGUGGAGAGAUUAUAUCUCUGCACUGGCCUGGGAACGCCUUGGGAUCCCCCAGUCAGAGCUGGUAGAUGUGGCCCGGGAAAGGGAAGUUUGGGGUCCCCUGCUGGAGCUGUUGCCCCCGCGACCCGACCCCGGAUAAGCGGUUGAAGAUGGAUGGAUGGAUGGAUGGCAGUGCUACAUCGUAUUGCUCAUAAACAGCCUAACAGGAGAAGAAACUUCCAAAAGACCCUCUUUGGAGAGAAUAUGUGGAAGAAAUCCAUCAGGGAAGGCUCUAGCGUCUUUCCCCUAAGCUCUAACUUUGGUUUAGCGACAAAAUAACAUUGUAGCAGAAUGUUAGGUGUAUAGUAAUUCAAUUACUAUGAAUAGUGUUUAAUUCAAAUUGCAAAUUGCAAAUUGCAAAUUUGUAGGAGAAAUUCCAUUUCUCCUACAAAUCUUUAAAUCAAAAGGCCACUGGCUGCACCUACUAUUUGUUUUUGUCACGCAGCAAGAGAGUGUGUUGUCCAGGCAAUCGGUUCCUUUUGUUCAGAUUUUAUUUACAAAGAAGGCAACAAACACAUACAAUUGGCUUGGCUGCCUUCCUAUGCAGUGCUCUGCCUCGCUGUCUCACUGGUAAAAAAACUGUCACCCAGGUGCAUGCUGGUCCUAUACCUGGCUAUGCCCUUAAAUAACCCCCAUGUGCCCACAGUAUUAUCCAAUUAAUUACUGAUCCAAUUACCCAAACAAUUAACCAAACUACACAUAAUUAGUGACAAAAUGAUUAAACCCAAUACAAAAAGCUAACUAAAUAGUAGCUCCCACACCACUGCUAAGUAUGCUCUUCUGCAUAAAUUCCUAACAUUUUAACACCAGCAUUUUUCAAAAACAUCUUUAUAGUGCAAAAGGAAGGAAGUUACUAUUUAGUUCUAGCCCUUUCCCCUUGGGAAGGAAAUAAUCCUAAGAAAGACAUCAUACACAACACCAGCAGUAGCUUCAUUAGGUCUACAUACAUAUUUGUGAUCUGCGUUAAAACAAGGAAUCCAUGGUGUGCACAGUGAUAAACGUAUAUACACUCCUGUUACAAUGCCAGUUCUUGUGAUGUAAAAAAACACAUGUCAGUGUUUCCCACUGUUUAUGUGACCUAUAAUGUAAACAAUAAAAGAAAGAAAAAAUCUAAAACUAAAAAGGUGUGCACACCCUCUCAUAAAUGGGAAUGUGGCUGUGUUCAGAAUUAAUCAAUCAUAUUUAAACUCAUGUUAAAUAACAGUGAAUACAGAUUUUACUAACAUUUUCUUGGUUGCAUCUUACAGCAAAAGCCAUGGUCUGUAGACAGCUUCCAAAGCAUCAGAUAGAUCUCACUGUAGUUUCAAGUGGUUACAAGACUUGGACUUGGAUAUUCAAUGCGGCACAGUUAAGCCAGGCAUCAUCAAGUGGAGAAAAUCUGGCACAAUAGUGACAUUACCAACAACUGGACAUACCUCCAAUAUUGAUGAAAAUACAAGAAAACUGGUUAGGGAAGCAUCCAAGAGGCCUACAGCAACAUUUAAAGGAGGUAGCAUGGAUUUCUGGCAAGUAAUGGCUGUGUAACAAUCGCCCGUAUCCUUCAUAGGUUAUAAGGAAAACAACCAAGACGAGCUAAAUUUUGCAAACGCAUGAGAGAAAAUGUGUUAUGGUCUGAUGAAACCAAGGUUGAACUUUUUGACCAUAAUUCCAAAAGGUAUGGUUGGCGUGAAAACAACACUGCAUCAGUGUGAGGGGGCUGUAUCAUGCUUCAGACUCUUUUUUUCCAGAUGGAACCGGGGCCUUAGUCAAGAAGGAGGGGAUUAUGAAUAGAUCCAAAUAUCAGUCCAUUUUGCCACAAAACCUUUAGGCUUCCGUUGGAAGUUUGACAGAUGAACUUCACUUUUCAGCACAACAACAACCCAAAGCAUACAUCCAAAUCAACAAAAGCAUGACUUUACCAGAAGACGUUUAAGACCUGAAACCAAUUGAACAUCUGUGGGGUGAUCUGAGGAGCGGUGUGCGCAGGAGAUGCCCUUGCAAUCUGACACAUUUGGAGGGGAAGAGUGUCAAGAUGUGCCAUGCGUAUAGACUCCUACCCCAAAAGACUGAUUGCUGUAAUAAAAUAAAAUAGUGCUUAAAAGAAAAGGUGUGCAUAUUCAUGCAACGAGGUUAUUGUAAGUUUUUCACAUUCACAUUAAAAGGUGGAAACAGUUCUGACAUAAUGUCUUGUCUCAUUUUUUUUUAAACAUCACACAACAUGGCAAAUUAACCGUGUGUAGACAUUUAUCCACUGUAUAUCCAUUUCUAAUACCAUUUUAAUAAUGUCGAUGUAAUAAUGGGACAAAAAUGUUUUCUUUCCUUGUAUAUGAAUACAUUAACAUUUUAACCCAUAGACACCAGGAAACUGUUAAUGAUAUUUAAGUAGGAGGCCUAACGCCAUUGUCCACAUUUUAUCACGUUAUGCCUUUUUUAUUACUUUGUUUUUUAAUUAAAUGAGUUUAAUAUCACGACUUUGUUUACUUAACAUGAAACAGUAUUGCAUCUACUAAGACGCCCUACAUCAAUUUGAAGAUCAAACUGGUAAUGUUGGCAAAUAAUAAUCCAUGUGAAAGUGUAAAACAAGCUGCAGUAUUGGUUAUAGCCUCUUUAGCUUAUUUGCUGUCAUUACUUAUGUUUAUUCUUUCUAAGAAUAGUAGUUAGUAGUCUAUUAUGAAUGCAAAUAAUUUCCUACAUUUCAUAAAUUCUGCUGCAGCUCCAAUUGAAUGAUAUGUGUGUAUUCACAUAACAAAUCAGUCUUUGCCUCUACGUGACACAGUCAACUGUUCCAAGACCCCCUUUCGGAAUGAAAUUCACUGAAGCACGCAAAGUAUUCUUUUCAGGUUUGCCCCAGCAUUUCAUCUUUUGAGUACUGAAUCUGUCUCUCCUUGUUUUUUAUUCUCUCUUCAUCCUUUUAUCCCUCUGUCAUAUUUGCUCUUUAUUCCCACUUUUUUUGUCUAGCUCUCAGCCAAAUUGGAGUUUUAUAGAACUGCGGCUUCAACAAAGUAUAUUAUAUUUAAAGUUUAUUAUUAGGUUAACUGAAAGCGCUUUGCUACAGCUUCGUCAUUGUUAUGAAAAAGUACUACUUUUUAAACUACUUAUUGCAUGGCUUAUAAAUCUAAUUUAUGUACUUUGAGAGGACAUUUGUCUGCCAGUAUGAUGACUUGCAUCUUUCAGAACUCAGAACAAGAAUUCCAAUUGGUACAGCUUUAUAUUUCUGCUGUUCAAUUAUUGGCACACAUGCUUGGUUUCUGUUGUAGAAUGCAUUUUUGAACGCUAAUAAUCUUUUUAAACCAAAAUCAAAAUCCUUUUGAUUAGUCCACUUUAGCUAGUUACGCGUUAUUCAUUUUUUUAAGUUUUAUUGAAUCAAUUUAUUUUGUUUAUCCUAUAAAGAAAAUAAUGAAAGAUACGGAAAGUCCAGCCUGAUCCCCCAAACCUGUGUAUGUAUACGAAAUGUAUACGAAAAUCUUGAACGUACAAAUUCGUAGUGAUACAUACAAAAUAAAUACGGACUGCAACUGAUGACGUCACCCUAUUCAAAGUGAAUGGGGACCUGCACCCCGUAAACACACUUUGUGAAGUCUAACGAUGUAAAAUAAACGUGUUAUGAUUGCAUUUUUAACGAGAAAUCAAUGUUAAAUUGUAAGAAUACAAUAUUAACCCUAACCCCCUCAAAAAAUCCAACAUGGCGGACAGACGUUCACUCAAGAAUCCAACAUGGUCCGCCAUGUUGUUCACUCAAGGGGCGUGGUUAACCACCGCCAGUUCGUAUGUAUUGUUACGAAUUUGUAUGUUCAAGAUUUUCGUUUUUACAAAUAGGUUUUGGAGAUCACGUUGGAAAGUCCCAGUACUUGUAGUGCCCCUUGUUCAUUCAAGCCUUCUGAACCUCGACAACCGCAGGGGAUCUGAUUCAAGUCACUGCAGGAAAUAAGUCAAGAAAAUAUAAAUUAUAUAUGUAUCAGUGCAAGGCAAUUGUUUAGCUCAGAGAACAAAUUACUAAGUACUUUACAAAAGAUGAACCAGCUUAAAAUAGAAUAAAAGCUGCAGUGCAGUUCAUGAAAUAAUGUAAAAAAACAUCCACUUCAUUCUGAAUCUGGUAUAAUUAAAAGGUAAAACGAAUAAGAAAAUGAUUUUGUCUUAAUUUGAAGCAGCUGAGAGUCUCAGCAGACCUGUAGCUUUCUGGGAGUUUGUUUCAGAUAUGUGGAGCAGAAAAACAGAAUGCUGCUCCGUGUUUGGUUUUCACUCUGGAAACAGAAAAGAGACCCGUCAGAGACGACCUGAGGGGUUGGGAUGGUUUGUAAUGUCGCCGCAGGACAGAUAUGUAUUUUAUUUGUGAGUGUUUUAUGAACCAACAGCAGUGUGAGCAAUCAGGACUGAGACUCCUCUAUUUCAAACGUCAUUGAAUCGCUCCUCAGAAAUAAACCUACAUUAGUGACAGUCUACUCUGACAGUCUGUGUGUUAAUUCUGUUUAAGGACAAUAACGCUUUUCAUUUACAUGUUUUCAUGUCGUCAUAACUAAACCAGUAUGGCUUUUUUUUAGCAGUUUAUUAGUUUCAGUGUAUAAUGCGGCAUUCACAGCAGUCUGUUCAAUGAAGAGACGUCUUCAAGCUUCAAUUAACGAGCAGACAAUAUUGUGAGGACAGCAGAAAACACUUUACAGAGCCAAGACAUUCAAAUAUUGUCUCCACGGAAAGUGACCAGCCACUGUGUCGGUGUCGUUAUUGGUUUAUCCACCAAAGGAACAUUUUAUAGAAGCAGAUAGAGGGCCAAAGUUAAAGUAAGAUGACAGGGAGCGUCAGAUAAAGAUUGUUUUUCAUCUUUGUUAUUGAUAAACUAAUCAUGCUGCCUGGCCAAAUCAAAGCCUAAUUUCAGAGCCUGUUUAUUCUUGCCUGUAGGAAAUCAAUAGCACAAUAUGAUAUUCUGUCUCUCUUUCUCCUUCUCAUCUAUAAUAGUGAUAAUAUAUCAAUCAUUGAGCUUCACCCAGUGAAUUAUUAUCUGUGUUGAAUUGUCCUUCUCUUUACGUAUGUGCUUUUUUUCUCCACUCUCGGGUUCGUCUUCAUCAUGAUAUCUUACUUUUUGUUGUGUUUUUCCGUUUCAGCCACACUUUGGAUGACAGCUUGGUGGUGUCAGCUUGUCAAUAUUGGUCCAUUACACUGAAAAAAAUGUACUAUUUACUUAAUAAAACCUAGGAAAGUUUUUGCACUUAGAAAGUGAAGUAAAUUCUACAAGGACGGUCAUCAAGUAAAUCAUACUUGCAGGAUAUAAGUUACUUUUACUAGCAAACCUAAGGUAAUUUACUGAUUAUUAUUAAUAUGGACAUUGAAUUUUACUCUGUCCUUCUUUGUAAGUUUUACUCAGACUCUGACUGCUUCAAACAGAAAAAUCUCACCUAAAAAUCAAUGGCUUUUCAAGGUUAUUUGAAAUACCUUUUUUAAUUUUUAUUUAUAGAUUAUACGUAAGUAACAUUUACACAACAUUUUACAUAAUUUUCUGCAGUUUAGAUUGCCUAAAUUUGUUCUCAAUGUUUUUGUGUACUGAAACAAUUACUAAAAAAAUAAAAUUAGGCAAUUGUUUAAUUCAACACCUUUAUUUAAAAAAAUGUAUAUUUUUCAAUAAAAUGUUUUCCAAAAGGUUUGCAAACACCAAGACAGCACUCACAUCUGUGACCCUUAGACAAUGGCCCCACAACCCACCAGUUGAGAACCUUUGGUUUAUUUUGGAAAUUAUUCUUUUCUCCUUCCUUCCUUGACCCGGAGACAGCACGCUUUAAUACAGUGCAAGAAUAUAAAUAACCAUUAAAACCAGAACAUAGACAACUGGCCACAUAAACAAAUGUGCCAUUUUUUUCUUUUAGUGCCCCCUUUGAAAAAACAACUCUUCAAACAUGUAGACUCAAGCUAUAAGCUUGUUUUGCAGGGACAGGAUCUUCGGGGACAGCUUAAGGACAUCAAGCUCUAGAAGAAGCUUUUGGAACACUUCAAAAGUGUACUUUAUUUUUGGGGGGUAACUCAAGUUCAUGGCAUAAAUGAUGGCCAUCAGCAGGAGACAGGCCUUUGCAACACUUCCACCGUUGUCAAAUACCUCAGUCCCUUCAACAAAAAUCGACACAUCAGCGUUGAAUGCACCUUCAUCUUCACUUGUGUGGUAGACACAGAUCCUCAGGACUCAGGGCUCAGCCUGGUCUUCUUGAGCUGCCUCUCUACUGAUACCCUGUAAAAUAUAUAUGGAUCCAUGUUCAGGUGCAUAGUACAGAUUAUUUUUUUCAUUCAAGUUACCAAAAACAUCAAUAUUUCGAUAACAGCUGAAGUUUGCUUUUACACUCACAAACAAACUGUAGUAAAUCAGGCCUUAUGGACAUCAUGUACCACUCUAGUGAUUCCUGAACUUUAUUUCCUGCCUCUCAUUAUUGAAAACACUGAAUAAUACUGUUGUAAGGGAGAGGAACAACCUCGUGGGAGGGACAAAAAAAGUGAUGUAGUUAUGACACUGUAUACUUAAUAAUAAUUAUAGUAUAAAAAUAAUAACUAUCUAUAAGUUUGCAGUUGCAUACCUACAUCUGACGUUUAUAACAAACCAAACCGUUCAAGAAUCGGUUAAAAAUUUAGCAAGUUAUGGUUAUUUAAAAAGUGCAUGUUUCACUACGUAAACCAACCAACCAACACAACGUAAAAAAACAAAAUAAAAAUUGUGACAAUUAACCUAAUAAAUACUACUAUACCAAAAAAUCAUUUUUUUCAGUGUACCUCAAUAACUAUUGGGUGUAAAUUUCAAAAUAUCCUGUAUUUAUCCCCAGGGAAUUAAUCCCAAUGUCUUUGGUAAAAACCUGACUUUCUGUAGUGCCACCAGCUGUCAAGAUCCCGGAGACAGGAAGACUGAAACGCAGAUUUAGCAUCAAAAAAUACUUUAUUACCCUAAUCCAAAUGCUUAGAGGCAAUUGGAGACCAAGAAGAAAAUGCAAACCAGACAAACUCUCCAACAUGACACACCCACAUAGACAAAAAAACUUACAAAGAGACAAGGAAUACAUGGUUUAAAAACACUAGAAAUGUGCUGGUGAACACAGGAGAAAACAAUCAGGGACAGGGCCGACAAUCACACUCACAGGGUGUCAUGUAAUAUAUUAUAUGAAGCUUAGGCGAAAAUUCAGUCAGGAAGACUGGACAGGCUGUGCCGUUCCCUGGUUGCCUUCUCUCUCCCUAGGGGCGCAUGGCCAGCUGAUUAGGGGCGGGGUCGGGUAGUAUCAGACGUGGGUGUCGUUACCGUAAACCAAUCGCAUUGGGGCAGGCAACCGUUAAAAACUGUUCUCCUCUCUUGUGCUGUCAGUUGUCAUUUCAGCACGCUCCAAAGGUGACCCGCCACCACCCCUGACACCUCCAAUCUACAGCAGAACCUGGCAUAGCAGGAGAGUUAUGCAACUUGGGCUCUACCACCACCACCACCAGUGUCUGGACUCCCAAGGGGAGGGAUAUGCCUCGUCUCGGCUCGAGAUCCCGGCCCCGGGUCUAUCCUGCGGCAGGAUGGAGUCCAAGCCCCAAACAACUUGUAAUAUCAUAUUAUACCUGUUAUAAUAAAGCAUUGUUCAAAUUUCAACAAGUCUCUCCGGAUUGAAAUAUAUUAAGUUCUUUUUUUUCCCUCGGGCAUCCAUAAUGCAACGGUUAACCUGCACUCAACGCCGGGUUUUCUUUGUCCUAAGUAACGUUCAUUAAUGCAUGCACGUUAUUCACUACACGGUCUCAUGCAAAUGUUUAGUCUCAUGCCAAUCUUUAGUUCUAUCAGUAUGGUGUGCUAUACAACCACUCUCAAUUUUUCCUCAAACGAUUGAGAAUGGUAGUGGAAGAUUUUCUCAUGCAAUCAGGAAUCAGUUAUAAAGUCUCUAAGUCUAUAAAGUUGUAUUUUCUGUUUAUUUCUUGCAAAGAAGAAGAAGUCUGCAACAGCUAUACAAUCGAUAGGAAGCAGCAAGCUUCUUCUUAUUGUUUGAGAUCAACACAAAUAUAUUCAUACAUCGACAGGGUUAACAUUUUAGCAUAACAAGAUUUUGUUAAGCUAAAAGGAUGGAGGCAGGCAAGGAGGAUGGAGGAAGACCCGAAGGAAGACUCAAGGUGCUUACAACAGACAUUAUGGUAGUAUUAUAUUUUUACCAUUACAUUCCACUCUUUUGAUUACAUAAAAAUCACACAAUAUGCCUUAAUAUAAUAUGCCUAAUCUAACACAUCAUGAUUUGUAUAUCUAGACACCCUUUUUUAAACCUGUACCUGGCACAGAACAGGAAUGUGGACGUGUUUAUACAUACAGGACUAUCAAAGUAAAGGCAUGUUGAAGAGCGCAUAAUAGUGUGCUCAUCCCUUUUCAUCAUCAUUUAUUGCAAUAAUUGUUUCAUCUUUCUAAAGCUGUAGCACAGUAAAAAUAAUGUUUCCCUCUGAGAUGUAGUGGGCAAGAAAGUAUAAGUACUUCAGCAUUGUUGACACGGGCGUGUGGCGGAGCCAAAUGCAGCACAACGGCACGGAGUGUUCGGUUAACGCUUUAUUUGAACACGGCCUCACAGCAGGCGUUCGGGCACAAUGAGAGGCAGAGCAGAGUGCGGUCCUCAGGAUCGGGGAGGAGAUGCCGGGAGACAGCUGGUGCGAUCGCUGGGGCCGGUCGGGGAUCCGGAGCACAAGGGCAGAAGCGCCGGGCAGUCCAAGGGGCAGGCAACAGAAACCCGAGGCGCUCAGGCAGGACUCGUGGUCGGGGACAGAAGGCUGACGUGCUCACCGGGGCGGAGACAGACGAACGGGUCGGGAACAGGCAGGGUCGAAACCGGGAGAUCAGUCCGAGGUAGAGUGCUGGAGAGACUUGCAUGACGCGAAGAACAAUCUUGCAAUGACAGUCUUUUGAGAAUCUCAAAUGGGCCAGUGAACUUCUGGGCCAGUUUCUUGUAGUCGUCGCGAAGGGAAAGGUCCUGGGUCGAUAACAAGACCUUCUGGCCCACCCGGUAAGUGGGCGCAGUGGAGCGUCGGCGGUUAGCAGAGGCGGAGUAUCUAGUCACCGACCGCUGGAGGUUGGCCCUGGCCUGGGCCCAGGUGCGCCGACAUUGGCGGAUGAAGGUCUGUACGGCUGGGCAGGAGACCUCCCUCUCCAGGGCUGGGAACAGGGGUGGUUGGUACCCAUGGGCGCACUGGAAUGGGGAGAGGCCGGUGGACGAGCUGACCAGUGUAUUGUGGGCGUACUCCACCCACAUUAGUUGUUUGGACCAGGUCGACGGGUGGCUGGAGACCAUACACCGGAGAGACACCUCCAUCUCCUGGUUCUUCCGCUCCGUCUGGCCAUUGGACUGGGGGUGGAACCCCGAGGACAGGCUGGCCGUGAAAAAGGCACGACUCAAACGCAGAGUUUAGCAGAGAACAAAAAGGGACUUUAGUCAAAAAACUCAAACUCAAAACUCCAAAAAGGCACCAACGAGGUCAGGGAACAGGAGACAGGAACAUGGACAAGGACAUGGGCUUCUGACAAGUAACAACAAGGAACAAUGACGCGACAAGUAACAAGAGACACACAUGGCUUAAAUACACUAGGGAGGACAGGUGAUUGGAUACAGUUGGGAACAAUCAUGACAUAACAAUCACAGGGAAAGACAGGACAAGGCAGGAAGUGACGUGACCCAGGGAGAACAGAGGCACGAAACUACAAAAUAAAACCAGACAUGAACCCAAACCGUGACAGAACUCCCCCCUCAAGGCCCAAAUUCUAGGUGGCCCUAACCUGACAGGAACAGACAAGGGGCGGGAGGGAGGCAAAACAGAGACGAAGGUCGGGCCACCCGGGGGACUCCGGGCGGGCUUCUUGCGGGGGGUCAGUCGGCCGGGGAGCCUCUGGGGGUCGGUCCGUUGGGCCGUCAGGAGUCUGGCUCCGGGGCGCCGACUGCGGAGCGCGUGAGGACGCCGGGGUCACCUGCUGGGGGCGCAGGAAGUCUUGGGGCCGGGACUGGCCGAGUCGGGGCCUGGAGUCUUGGGGCUGGAACCGGGGUCGAGGCCUGGAGUCCUGGGGCCAGAUCAGGAGGCCGCUGCGGCCCAGCGCGGGACGUGAUACGCUGCGGCCCAGCGGGGUCGAGGGAUUGCUGCGGCUCAGCGGGGUUGGGAGGUCGCUGCGGCCCAGCGCGGAAGUCUGUGCGCUGCGGCCGAUCUGCCAGGAACCCCAGGGAGGACCUUUCCCCCAUUACGGGUGGCCCACGGGAGACUGCAUCGACCGCCCAUAGCCAGACGGGUUCCCCUGAACUCUUCCCGGGGAAAAAACCCUGCUGAGACCUUAAAAGGUUGCGUCAUUGUGUCAGGAAGGUAUGCUGGGGAAAAAGGCAGGAAUCAAACGCAGAGUUUAACAGAGAACAAAAAGGGACUUUAUUAGUCCAAAAACUCCACACACACGAGGUCAGGGAGCAGGAGACAGGAACAUGGACAAGGACACGGACAUGGGCUUCUGACAAGUAACAACAAGGAACAAUGAUGCGACAAGUGACAAGAGACACACAUGGCUUAAAUACACUAGGGAGGUGCAGGUGAUUGGACACAGCUGGGAACAAUCAUGACAUGACAGACAAUCACAGGGGAAGACAGGACAAGGCAAGAUGUGACGUGACCGAGGGAGAACAGAGGCAAGGAACUACAAAAUAAAACCAGACAUGAACCCAAACCGUAACAAACUUAACGUUCAAUCAAUGUAAGAAUAAGAACAAAUAAACAAUCCUUAUUUUUAGAAACAAGCUAAUUUGGCAAGCUUAUAGCAGUGACAGGUUAGACAAAUACUCUGCAUUUUGUAUCUGCUUAGGGUUUCUAAGAGGUUAAUGUGGCUUAGUUCAAAAUGUGAUUCAUGUUUUUUGUAAUAUCGGAGUACAAUGCUGUGACAAACUGAAGCCUGGGUUGUAAAUUGAAUAGAGAAGGCGACUUUCCUGUUGCCUCCAGUGGUGCCCAAAUCCUCCAUGUUCACUCUCACUGUCAGCAGGCAGGCAACCGCAGUGGUUUAUCUGUCCAUUUCAAGCCCUCACUUCUCCCCUGAUUACGUAUUACUAAUGGGUGGGAAGCAACGUAGCAACUUCUUCUGGUUGGCUGAAAAUAUAGCCCAUAAUUAGCAUCAACCAAUUAGUCUGACUAGUCUUGUGCUAUUGACAGACAUGAUCACAAGCACACUUAGUGCUACUUUGUUUUAAUGAGCCUUUCUUUAUUAAAUCAAAUAAUUCAAUAAACACUGAGGGUUCUUGUUUGCUCUGGAAGUGGGAAGGUAAAAAAGAGAGAGAGCGGCUGCAUUAAAAACUGAGCUCUAUUCAUCAUUACUGGAGUGCCGCCUUAACAUUGUAAAGCAUCCAUCAGCAGCCGUCUAAUGAGCAUUAGGCCACUUCAUCAGCUUCACGACAAUCUGCCUUCUCAUUCAUCUCAGAACAGGAGGCCUGUCUGUUAACAUCACCUCUGAUAAACAACCUCACUCAUAGUCACACACGCAAGCACACACGCGGAGACACUAGAUUUAUCAACACACUCAAACCCAAACUGACAAUUAAUGAUGACACGUAUCUCACGUAGUCUCACCAGUUGAUGGAAUCUGUGAGAAUGUCCAGGGAAAAUGUUUUAUAUAUUUAUUAGGAUAAUAUAAAUUUACUUUGACAUGAGCUUUGAUAUAAUUAAAAUUUACUAAUACAUACAUGACAUCUUAAGUUUUUUCAUGAUUCAUUGUUGACAGAGUUCAAGGUAUUAUAUAGGUAGUUUUGUGUUUAUCUUUUUAUAACUCCAUAAAUGAGAAUAGUCAACAGACUUAAAAAUGUGUAUAUAUAUAUAUAUAUAUAUAUAUAUAUAUAUAUAUAUAUAUAUGCCCCGGGUUUUUCACUAUGAAACUUUCCUAUUUGACUUGAUUGUCAAAUUGAUACAAUUUGACAAUUAUUUUCUGAAAAUCUAUGUAUAAAAAUGCACACAAGGUGUUAUCUAAUAGUAACUUUGUGUGAAUGUAGGAGAAAUCGAUGGACUGUAAGGCAAACAACCAAAUAUGUAGAUGUUUUUCUUUGCGCUAGUCUGAAAGAAGUCAUUUCAAGCCAAAUCUCCGAAACUUUGACAAAUGCAUUUAAGAUAACAUUUUUGGUUUGGUGUUGGUCAGUUCUGAUCUCCAUAGCUCUACCUGCUGCUACCUCCGCUGUUGCUGUUCAAAUCUCACACUGAAAGUCUUUGCUUCCAUCCCUCUGUUUCCCUCCUUUUCAGUGCCAGACAUUCUGUUAAUGUCUCGCUCUCUCACCCUCCCAAUUAUCCACUGGCCGUCUUUGAGGAUCUUUCCUGACGCUACAAAUGAGGAAUUACCCGUUGCCAAGUAGCCUGCUUAAUGUUACCUGGCAUCUAUACUGCUCAGAAAAUGGGGCACCAUAGUUCCUUUAUCUUCCUAUCAUCCAGAUCAAUUACCUUAAGAAUGAAGCACGGUUGAGUUAUAAAAAACAUCCCAAUGUCAAGGAUGCGUGGGAAGGCAGGACUCAAAUGCAGAGUUCUUAAACAAAAGAGACUUUAAUAGUCAAAAAGGCAAAACGCAAAAGGCCAAGGGGGAAAAACACACACAGGAACCAGGGGAAAAACUGCAGCCAGGAACUACGAACAUCCAGGACCAUAGACAAUGACGUAAACUAGUGACAAGAGACACAUACUGCUUGAAUACACUCGGGAGGUGCAGGUGAUUGGACACAGGUGGAAACAAUCAGACAAUCACAGGGGAUGACCGGACAAGGCAGGAAGUGAAGUUACCCAGGGAGACAAGAAGCAGAAAACUAAAAAAAUAAGACAGGAAAUAAAACCACACCGUGACACCCUUUCUACCCGAGUAGAAAGCGUUGUGAACAACUUCCCGCUCCAAAUUCAGUGACUGGAGUAGCGAGUCAUUUUCAGAAAACUUAAAUCAUCCGUGAAUUAGACUUUUUGUUUUGUAAUUCAGAUGAAUCACAAAAAAUAUAAACAAAUAAAGAAACCCAUUUUCUCUGCUUACAAACAUAAUGUAAUGGAUCUUCUGCUGUUUUUGUGUCCCUGUUGUGACUAAUGGUUUUCCGCCUUCAAACGACCAAUUAAUCUGAAGAGAAGCUGAUAACGUGGGAGACUGAGGGAGUCGGAGAGACUCGUUGUGUUACUGCUACUUAGAGCCACAAGAGACCAGUUAAGUGUGUGUGUGUGUGUGUGUGUGUGCGCGCGCGCAUUCAUGUGUGGCAAUAGUUGACCUAUCCUGUUUGAAGCAGAAACGUAGGGACUCCAGACUUCUAGAAAGGACUGCAGAACACACAUAGACACACGAUGUGGCAUGUUGGCAGUAGUACAGAGGAUUGAGGAUCAGUGUUUGAUCCACACUGACCUUUAGUUUGGAUCAAAGUUACCUCUCCCCUCCUGCUAAUCCAUGUAUGCAUAUCCCUCUUCUCCUCGAUCCAUCAGCAUCCUGCUUAUCUUGCUCUCAUUUCAAUCAGUUCAAUAAAAGAAGACAGUGAUGAUUUAGAUAAUAUAAUGACUUGGCUGAAUUAGCUUUUUCAAAAACAUACAUGGGAAAGUUUCCUCAAAAUGUUUUUGACAUAACAUAUAACGUGUUCUACGAAGCUUCCCAUAUUUCUAUAGUGAGUUAAGCUUAAAAUAAGGACAGCCAGCAUACUGCAACCCUGCCAGAGCUGCAGUGAUAAUGUUCCUCACAGACACUGUGGCAAACCAGGGGAUGUGGAGGCAAGAUUUCCGAAUCAGAUAGACAGACACAUUAGUCCAAUGACAAAAAUGAUCCUUUUAUUUGAUAACGUAGGGGAAAGGGUCUAGGGUCGGAAAACAACAAAAUACUCCUCCCGGUCGGGGUCUUAGAUCCUUAACGAAUUGUCUUGGGGAAACCCAGAGAUAGGGCCCGAAGAGGCAGAAUGCUAGCCCUGGUUUGCCACAGCCCCUUGUUGAUGCAUUUGUUUGUUUUAAAAUAUCACAGAUCACUGAGAAGCUUCACUUUUCUAUGUUCAUUGCUGCAGAGAUAUGUUAUGUCUCCUGUACAUGCAUGUUGGGAUUGAUAACAUUCUAUGUAAUAUUAUAAGUUCAUCAGUCUCAAACCCAAAUUAUUAUUAGUAUAGAUUUUCAGAUGUGUUGAGAAAUGAAAUAAAGUCUAUGUGACCAGAGUUAUUCUGGUUGAACAUGUGUUUCUGAUUGACCCCAGAUGGUCAAUUCUUGUGCAUAUGAAGACCUAGGUCCAGCAUGCCUUCUGUGUGAACAGCAUCAUAUAUGGAUGUAUGUAGGUCUUGCAUGUGUCUGUGUUCUCUCUGAGUAGUCUCUGGACAAAUGGACUUGAACAGAGGUUAACAUCUGUUUAGCUUAGUCUCCAGGAGGCCAGAGAAGCAUCUACAAUGCCAGACAUUUUGUGUCUGUCUCUCUAUAGUACAUAUUAUGCACAAAAGAAACUCACAGCAAGACAGACUUACAGGUGCGCAAACAUGCAAUUUGCACACACAGAGCAGCCUCCAAACAACCCUGUUAGUAAUCAGGGUGUCUCCUUAUUUAGUCUUCUGAGACUUUUGAUUUACUUAAAAUGUGUAUUUUAGAAUUUGGAACAAAAAGCAUUAUUAAAUAACUUAAAUAAUAAUUUGGUGGAUGAUACCUCUUUGACAAAUUCAACGUGCACAGAGAAAACCUGAUAAAUUGCCUGCAGAGGAACAGAGGUGGGUCUUUGGGUGAGUGGACAAACAACGAGGCCAUUACACACUACUGUCUGACGUGUGCCAGCGAUUAAUGAGAAUUAAUGGGAAAUAUAAGUAGCUGCUUUCAGGGAGUCAGUGUAGGAACAACACAUUUUUGUCCAAGGCCCAAACUUCUGUAACAAUCUGCUGUGAGACUAAAGAGGGUCAAUAUCAUUUUUGUUCCAGGUGUAAUAUCUAAUAUAUAACUAUCUUUAGAGUGCAAAUCUAGUGCAGUGGUUCAUGACAUGUUAUGCCCCAGACAGCAGUGGACUCCAGGCCGGAUCCGCAGUCAGCCCGCCAGAUCCAGCCUGGAGUCCGCUCUGGUUUUGGCCAUACGCACCGUAUCCGCCCCGCCUACUAAAAUAUCAUCGUCAAAGGGGGGACCUGCUGAGGACACGAUUUGGGUACAGUUGCAUGUGUCCUAGAUUUCGGCGGCCUGUUACGUGCCUGCAAUAUUUGAAUUGGGGAAAACGCGGCAGGCACAAAACAGGCAGCCUGGAGGAGCGGGUUUCCCCAUGCUUAGUAGAUGUAGGGUCUCUUUGUUGUGCGCAUUGUGCUGUGCUGAAAGAGGAAGGUAAAGUUGCAUGCAGAUCUCAUUGUGUUGUAUGAGUCACUUUGGCUACAGCUAUGCUGUGCGUAGGUAAAGCUAACCCUGGCAAGUACUUUGUGUAAGCUUGUCUUCAAUGUGUACAACAAGCCCAUUUCUGUUUAAUCACAUUUUACUGCACGCCUCUGUUUUCAAGCACUAAGUUAAUUCACAUACUCCUGCCAAUAGAGCAUUGUUAAGUAUUGAUUUCUAAAGUUAAACAGAAAGUUGUAUUUCUGUGACUGACACUGGUCGUUUUUUUCUCUUAAUAAUUCAGGCUGUUCUACUUUAUUGAGUUCAUCAGGAACCAAACCGUAGCAGUGGUGCUACAGAGGUGAUAGAAGAUAGAAUGAUGGUGACUGACUUUGGCCUUGUUACAGGGGGGACAGAAGAGUGGACAGGGCCUCGUUACAGGGGGGGACCGAAGAAUGGAUAGGGCUGUCCAAAAUGCAGAGGAACUGGCCCUAAUUUAUCUUGUUUAUAAUUAUGAGGGGAAAAACAUUUGAAUUUAUUCUGUUAAAUUCUGUUAUUUUGACUUUAGGUCAUUACUUCGAAGUAAGACAAAGGAUGACAAAAUAUACAGUAUUGCACACAUCCACUCUACAGCAGGAAGAGGCAAUUCCUAAUAAAGAGAAAGCCAAAGCCGGUGUGAGUAAGAGCUGCCCUGUGAGGCGGGGGACUUAAAAUCUAAUAAAACAUAAGAUACAUUUAUAAAAAAAAAGAUACCAGCAACGCCAGAAAAGUUGCAGAGUCUAGGUCUCCAUAAAAACAGGUUAUUUUUCACCAGAGGAAGAACAGCAUGGAUCACAAGACUUAAAAGCAUGGUUUAAAAGGAGGAUUUUAUUUUUAACUAAAAACCCAUAAAUAACUACAAUUGUAUUAAAAGUCCAGCUGGAACAAAGUGCUAAAAAAGAUUAAGGCAGUUUGAUGGCAUUUUUUUUUUUAAACAUUCUAUUGCAUAUUAGAUAUAAUAUUACUGUUUUUAAUCUAUUUUAGAGUUCCUCCCUGGAAACCAUCAAAGGACAUGACACAAAUCAUGUCACAUAGGCUGCUCAGUGGGGAUGUUGAGAAGAGCAUUGAAGAACAAUCCGGUACAGAUUCAAGCCGGACAUGGGCCGGAUCUUCAUCUUGGAUGCUGAUGCAUCAAGACUGCCCCAAGCCCAUCUGCAGCCAUAUCAUGUCUCACCGACUGACUUAAGGAGAUAAAGGCAUGGAUGAACAACUUUCUCCAGCUAAACAGUUCCAAAACCGAAGCCCUUUUUGUUGGCACUCCACGCCAGUCAUCCUCCAUCCAAAUGACUGUGCAAACAUCAUUCUAUCAUCUCAAAAGCAUCUUCAAACUCUGCCCCACUUUGACCCCGUCAGAUACAGAGAAGCUUGUCCAUGCCUUUAUCACCUCAAGACUGGACUACUGUUAUUCACUUUCAACUGGAAUCACUGACAAAAAUAUCCUGGAACUACAAUACAUCCAAAAUAGCGCUGCCAGGAUCCUGAUGAGAGUCCAGAAAUAUGAACACAUAGCACUCAUCGUAGGAUGGACACUCACUACACUGGCUGCCUGUCUCCUUCUGGAUUGACAACAAAAUUCUACUACUCAGUCAUGAAUAAAAUGUAUUAUUAUGAGCCCGCCCCGGAUCCUUUUUGCAUAUCAGUUCCGGAGUUUAUGAUACCGCCAGAGCGGCGCGGCUUGCUUUUGCUAUCUGGGGUUUCUUUAAGGAUGUCUUUAAACAGUUUGGGUUGUUUGUAUGUUGUAUGUAUACAAGCAGGGCUGUAGUGGAGGGUAAACACACGUAAACGCUGUUUACGCACCUCUGGAAUUUUGGAAAUAGCGUUUACGCACCUCUAAAUAGCGUUUACCCACCUCUAAGUGGCGUUUACGCACCUCAAAGUUACCUGCGCCUUGUAUUCUUCCGUUGGAAUAAACCGAAAUAAACUUGGUGUAAUUUUAAAACAGCUAAGACUACGUUUCCUAUUGUUGAACAUUUAAACGCCGUAGUCUGAAUCAUUUUCAUCUGCGCUGUAUUACGGUCUGUGAGCAUCCAAUCAGUGCCUUGCGGCUGCAGCAGCGACACCAAUCAGGAUCCAGGAGGUAUGUAAACACAUACACGUUGUGGAUUAGCCCAGUGGUCCCCAACCUUUUUUACCUCACGGACCAGUUUCAUGUCAGACAAUAUUUCGCGGACCGGUCGAGAAGGUCCGACGGGGGGGGGUGUAGUAGUCGUUGCGGGCGGAACGGCCGACGGGGGGGUAGUAGUCGUGCGCUCUGUGUUCGCUGGUCGUGCACGGUAAAAGGACAAGAAAAACGCCAGUGACGCGCGCACAUGAUUAGGAGAAAAUCCGGUCAAUUUUCAAAAUAAAAUAUAUAAGCUUUCUGUGGUGCGGCCCGGUACCAAACAGCCCACGGACCGGUACCGGUCCGGUGGUUGGGGACCACUGGAUUAGCCUGCCUGCCUACCUGUUCGGAAUGGAUUACCGCAAUGGAUAUCAGGCGAUAUUUGAAGAGACCAUCGAGUGCUCCCACUCCCACAGAUGCCCGCAAAAGGCCUCAAGUACAAAGUAAGACUGAAGAAGAUCAAUUCACGUUUUCAAACGUUGUCUUGGUUCGCACAACAUCGCAUUAAGACAGGGACAAACUCUAUUAAUAACGUGCUUUCAAAUACGAUGAUGCAGGUAACAAGCCAGCCUUCCCGGUCCCAUCUAAAUAGGCCUAAUAAAAUGAGUAAUUGUCCUCAUGCAUAUUGCUGCAGAUUAGGCUAAUUCAUUGAAAAAUUGUCGACAGAUUAUGUGCAAGACAGUUAGACAUAGCUAAGAGAAAUGCUAAGUGAAAUGUUUUAGUUUAGCUAUAGAAUCUUCCAUUUUCGCGGUCAAGGACAAAUAUAUUAGUUUUUUACUUUCAUGAUGACAGCCUGCUCUCGCAUAAAAAACGUGAGCGGGGAGCAAAACUGUUGCUUCACUGAAUAGGCCUAUAUGCUUAAUCAAUUAUUUGAAGUCAUGAAAGGUGUAGAGUAGCCUGUAAGCGAAAUAGACUGUAAACAUAGAUUAGAAAACAAGUCAGUUCUCAAUGUGAAAAAAAAACAUGCUGUAUAGGCUAUUUACGAUGACAUAGGUAGUACAUGAGUGUUCCUUUAACUUAUGUUGUCAGUGUUAUUGACAGGCUGCUUAACUGGUGUUCUCAGCCCCACAACUCUUAAAUUCAACAAAUUUUUUCAGGCAGUGAUAGGACAGGUAAUGAUGCAGAGAGCACAGGGAGAGGAGAAACACCAGGUCGAAUAGAGAGAGGAGAAGCACAGAGGAGCCAUGAACCCCGGCUCCUCUGUGCAAGGCAGGACCUGACGUGGAGGACAAGGAGGCCCUCUGGGCACUACUGUAAAAGGGAGACUCCAUAUGUAGAUAGUUCUUAAUCUGCAAUUGUCUUGUUGUGUUGUGUUGACAUACUUUUCUUUACUGUUUUCUUAAAUUUAAUAAACUACAAACUACUAACACAUUUAUUCACUGUCAUUGAUUGUAUAUGACUUUUACUGAUAACAUAAUGCAAUAUAGCCAGGACAACCUUACAGAGUCGCGACGCUUUGUGUUGCGUUGCUUCGCAUCGCGUCGAGGUCUGUAUGAUCACAAAAGUUUACCCACCUCUAAUUUUACCACUACAGCACUGUAUACAAGUUAUACUAGGGAUACCAAAACGGUGGACCCUGGUUUGGGCGAAAAGAUAUGUUCUUUUUUCCUUUUCUUAAAAUAAAGAAACGUUUAGUUCUGAUAUAAUUGAUUCUAAUCUCUUAAAGAGCCGAGAUUGAAAUUAUUCCCCAUCCAGUCGUGUGACGGACACCUAAUCCAUCUAUUUUCAUAUGAAAUCGCAACAUUUUGGCUGCCACAAUCGGUUACCAGUUUUAACCAAAAUGCAUCUUCAAAUGCUAAAACAUAACAUUCAGUGGACAGAACAAACAGUCUAAAUCACAUAUGUCAAACUCGCGAACUUCUGACAGACAAGAGGCUGGUUGUCUUUUUUUUAUAUCAAUUUGUUUUGCACCACACCCUCGUCGGCUGUACCGUUUGCGCCACUGCCACCCCCCGUUGUAACUUCCCCCACAAAGAAAGAGGUUGGAUUAAAUAAACCUUUAAUCAGUGUUGAGGCAAAGUUUUUAAUUGUGCACCCUAUAACAAAGAGUAGCCUGUGGCGAAGAUAGAUAGAUGCAGUGAGAUAGAGGGAGCCAGUGAGACAGAGAGGAAGAAUACUGUUUCCUCUGUCUCAUCCACAUUUUGACAUGAAUCAGGCUUGGUGGCGGAGAUGAUUUUUUUCUGAGCCAGGGGUCGGGGUGCUGUGGUGGCUGGACGGACACCAAGAUAAGUGUCAUGUUGAUGUUUAUUAUGCACAUUCCUAAAUAAAUGUAGUUAAGUUAAUAAUUACUGUCAGUCCUUCCCUGUCAUUUCCACCCCUCACUCCACCUAAUCAGUUCAUUCUGUAGACCUGCUAGUCACAUUCACCCUGUCAGCCCAAUCACUUACCUGUCUACUCUACUCACUCCCUUCAGUAUCUAAACCCCACUCACUCACUCGCUGCCAGAUCGUUCUCUGCACUUAUGCCAGACCUUCCUGCAUUUUCUCUUGGACAUAGUUCCCAGCGGUGUUGGCCCUGCCUGUCUUGGACUACCCCUUCUUGCGCCUGCCCUGGUAAUUCCCCCAGUCUUCUGUCCCCGACCACGUCUUUUCCUGGUGACUGUUUGGUUGCAUUGAGGAAAAUAAAAUACUCUGUUGGGAACUACAACUGCUGUCUGCCAUAUUGCAUCUGGGUUCGUUCUUCACCAGUUAUAAAUUACAGCGCUAAACUACACUUAACAGUCCCUGUAAUAAAGUAAAAUUAUAAAUGCAAAAUAUUAUACAUUUAAAAUACGCACUGCUGAAAGUUUGUAACCCGGCUGGCAUGUUUAACUCGGUCGACUCAAAACCAAGCACAUCACACCGGCCAGAAGAAACACUCACCAUGUCUCACAACACACAAAUUGUCAAACGACAACCUAUUUCUUGCCUCAAAUAUAUAAAAUAUAUUUUAGGAUACUAUUGAUGUUAAAUUGGUCAUCCGGUCUCCCUUAGGUUGGCCAAAACAGAGCACCUGCCUGGGAAUUCCCUUUUUCCUCUUGACUUAAUUACUACAAUUUCUUCUUAACUUCCCUGGAGUCAACAAGCGAUUAGCGCUUCUCGACAACACUGCAGGCAGCACCUCUGGUGGCCAAGGGAUAAGCUCGCACAGAGCGGCCAGGCAUUCCUAAUGGGCACUACAAUGCUGGAGUAGUUACUAGUAACACAGCCUGGUUGUUAUUAGUUCUGAGAAAUCAAUCCGGACUCACAUUUUAAGCACAAGAUGCAUCUUUAAUUGCACAUGUGUGCUGGGGACUAGAGGUGGAUACCCGACCCGAGCCCGUCGGUACCCGUCGGGACCCGAUGGGUUGGGCCGGGUCCGGAUAAAUAUUUAGAAAAUAUAGUCUGGCUCGGACACAUCAGCGCGAUAAGACAUUGAACAUUCCAUAUUUAAAAUAUCUUAAUAAGUAGUGAAGUCAACAUCUGCUUCCCAUGAUGUAGAACCUCGGUUCCCAAACAGCGCUUGUUUGUUUGAGCGAGUAUAUUUAUCUGUUGAUGCCGGAGUUUAAUAAAGGCAAGCUAUUUAUAAAAAAAAAACGUUUGUGAAUGUGUCAUUAUUAUGAACAGUUGAGGCAUCGACUCCGUCGGGCUCAGGUCGUUUUCGGACAAAAUAGUUUAAAGGCUGUCGGACUCGGGUCGGACUCGGGCCCAACUCUGUGGGACGCGGGCCGGGCACGGACAGAAAAAGUCGGCCCGAUCCAUGCUCUACCCGAGACUGAUGUACUUUGGCCACAUUGUAGUGUGAAAAAACUAAAACAUAAAAAGAAAUAAAAACCUCAUGAAUAAUUCAGGUCACCUCUUCAUGUUAUCUUCGUAAAAGUAGCUUACAAAGAUAUUGUGACUAGAUUUAAGUCAUAAUUCCAUCAUCCCUGUUUAAAAUUCAAUGAGCUUCAAAAGUCUUGUAAAUUAUUUUUAGUUGUUUAUAAGAAAACAUCAUGCUCCUUUUAAAUUGGUUAAGCUCUGUGUCCAACUUUAAUCCCACAGCUUCCUUUUCCUUCCUUUCUUUCUAUUAUUUUAAAAGAAAAUGCAAAGCUGUUCUACUUGGCCCGUGGGGGAAGGACAUCUGUCUUGGAAAAAUAUCCCCAAAUGAAUCCCGACUGAGGUGUUCAAGAUGUAAAAACAUUUUGACUGUAUACCGAUUUUUAUCUUGCUGGGGAACGUAGUCCCUUGAUUACACAAUAUAUACAUAUAGUGUAAUCAAGGGACUGGCAAACCAGGGGACAAAGGUGACUACACAGCACAGGGGGCGGAUCCCCAGGCACAGGUUGGGGGAGGGGAUGGAGAGAGUCUUCUCUCCUGUGCAGGUGCUGUAACCACUCGGCACCUGGCACUGGUGACACCUGCAGCUAAUUAAAGUGAGCGUUUGUUCACUGAACUGGGAAGCAGAACCUCUCGAGAGGAGCUGUGUCGGAUGGGAAGUAUUCCAGCGGGCUCACCUCUCUCUUCGGCUCUCCCCACACAGGGGGUAGACAUUGAUGCCAAAAGUUUUUUUUUUUUUUUUAUAGUUUGACACCAUCCCCCUUCACCCACUUAGAGGAUUCCUUUUGUGCCUUGAUUACUGAAUCUUGCCUCCAUGCCCUGGGCCGCUACGGUAUGCAAGGCAAGACACAAUAGCACCAUUGGUAAACUGUCUGAGCUAUGCAGAAUUUGGGCUCUGUUGUGUGAUUGAUCCAAUGUGGCAACAACAAUGAUGACCAGUGCUUCAAAGUGACAGGGACAGCCAAUGUGUUGCCAGCCCUUAGGUCUCUGAGACACACUCUGCGGCUGAGCAAAGGGACCGAGGACCAAACAGAAACACACGAGUGUUUGUGCUGUGUUUUUUUCCUUGAAAAAGGUCCAUCAUUUCAUUUGCACUUAUAUAGCUAUAUAAGUGCAAAUGAAAAACUAUAGUUUAAAAUUGUGUCUGUAGGGGGGAACAUUUACUCUUCAAGAAUCGUGGCACACGGCGCAUCAUUGCUUUCCACUUUUUGUGAAAUGACAAAAAAAAAAAAAAUGUUUUCAUUCUUGAACCCUGCAUUGACGUAUUGUGUCUUUAUACAUAGUCAGAUAUUUGCAUGGAUCAUUUUAUUAUUUGUAUUUGAUCAAAAUCAAGCUGAAAUUUAGGUUUUGACCAGAAAACAAGUUUACCUCUUCUCUAAUUACUUCAGUAAAUGCAUUUUAUUAGCUUGCAAAGCUCCUUCUGCUGAACUACAGCUACCAGCUGCUGGUGACUGAUGUGGAGCCGGAUGCCACCUACAUGACGGGCUCGUUCCACCAAUCACUGGCAACAGAUUUUCAUUCAGAAAGAUUUUUCACUCAUAACACACUGACCUAAAAAGUACUAGCAACAGGGAGAUUUAUGAACUUUCAAAGUUUGAACUAAUUUUUACAAACAGUAUUUUAUUAUAGAAUAAGAUUUGUUAUUACAUUACAGGUUAUUUAGCUGACGCUUUUUAUCCAAAACGACUUCCAUUACAUUUUUAACUCGCGUGCACCACAACUAUAAAAAGCCAUUAUCAAUGGAGCGCAGAUAUUACGAGUCACCAUGGCAACAGCGCCAGACAAAAAGAGGUCUUCAUAUUUUUCACCAGCAGAACUGGAUGUGCUUAUGCAAGCAUAUGGAGAGUACGAACAUAUAUUUUAAAAAAAAAGCAACACGGCUGCAGCGGCGAAGGACAGAGAGUUAGCUUGGGAGAAAAUAGCUGCUCGAGUCAAUGCGUAAGUUUACAUUUGAAUUACUGUUAUACAGUGUUGUGUGUAAUUAAUUUCUAUGUAAUCUAAAAACUGUAAUUUAAUUCCGUAAUUUAAAGUAAAAUCUGAUGUAAUUGCAUUAAAUGCUGCAUAAACUAUAAAGCAAUUCUGUAUAAAAC
Long non-coding RNA from Gasterosteus aculeatus aculeatus (three-spined stickleback), 23950 nucleotides. The record is from Ensembl. Lineage: Eukaryota; Metazoa; Chordata; Actinopteri; Perciformes; Gasterosteidae.